Molecule: long non-coding RNA, 692 nt
Organism: Symphalangus syndactylus (siamang)
Lineage: Eukaryota; Metazoa; Chordata; Mammalia; Primates; Hylobatidae
Source: RefSeq, a predicted model, not a curated record
CUGGGCCGCUGCGUUCUGGAGGGGGGCAGAGUCCGCCCGGCCUGUGCAUCCGCACUCUCUUCGGCGAAUUUCGGCUUGGACGGGGCUGGAUUACUGAGGCGGCAGAUGCGACAGGCACAUGUUUAAACAUGCUGUUCAUCCGACGCUUGUUUACUUCAGUGGCUGGGCCAGGAACAGUAAGAGGCAUGAGGAUCACCCAGCGUGGAGACCGCUCUGGAGGAGGCUGCAGACUGGAGGCGCUGUUGUAGCCAGCUGCAUUUUGGAGGAGAAUCUACCAUAAAACCGACAGACUCUUCCUGAUCUCUACCUGUGCUGUCUGCCUCUCUAGCUCCGGACACUGAGAGCUGGUGCCCUGUGGCCACCGCAAGCUGGAACCCUGGAAGAUCACCAAGAAGACUGCACGCCUCGCUCUAGCCUUCCUAAGGGAAAGUAGACUCCUGUUUUUGAGAGAAAUUACCUGAUUUCAAGAGAAACAUAAAGGACUUUUUUUUCCUUAACAUUCCACUCGUAAAAAUGAAGUUUGGAAGAACUUCUGCAAACUCUGAGUGUUUUGGUCAAUUGACCUUUUACAGUACUAAGCAAAUCUGAAGCCACAAAUACACUGGGGAGGAAGGUAUACCCUUCACAAAAGAUUUGUCGCUUAGCCAGAUACUCUGUUGCCAUGCUUCUUUAAAUAAAGAACAUUUCUGGUA